CACGCCGUAAACGAUGAUAACUAGCUGUCCGGGCACUUGGUGCCUGGGUGGCGCAGCUAACGCAUUAAGUUAUCCGCCUGGGGAGNCAACGCGCAGAACCUUACCAGCCUUUGACAUCCCGCGCUAACCAGAGAGAUCUGGGGUUCCCUUCGGGGACGCGGUGACAGGUGC
Molecule: ribosomal RNA, 171 nt
Filed under: uncultured bacterium
Lineage: Bacteria
Description: partial 16S ribosomal RNA
Rfam family: Bacterial small subunit ribosomal RNA
Source: RNAcentral